RNAcentral lists this long non-coding RNA (1730 nucleotides) under Equus caballus (horse). RNAcentral's name for it is "lncRNA (ENSECAG00000053893.1)". The record is from RNAcentral. Lineage: Eukaryota; Metazoa; Chordata; Mammalia; Perissodactyla; Equidae.
CUCACAGUAAUUCUUUACCUACUUGAAACUUCAGUUUAAAUCAAGAUUCCCUUGUUUUUCUAUUCCAAUAUUGGUUUUUGCACCCCAGUCUUUCACUAGUUGAAUUCUGGGCCUUAUUUCUGGGCAAGCUAGAGGUUAUGAUAAAGUUGCAAGUUUUAUAUUCCCUCAGAUGAUCCAUGAAUCAGAGACUUUCAGUUUAGAAAGGUGGUUUUAUGGCCAGAAUGGGAGCCAUGUGGCAAACAUAUGUUGUAUGUUAAAAAUUUGAGACAUUAAGCACCAUUUACUUUUCAGUUAUCACUAACAAAAUUUCAAAGAUGUUGUAUUCAUUUGCUAAGGUAGCCAUAACAAAGUAUCACAGGCUGAGUGGCCUGAGCAAGAAAAACUUAAUUUCUCACAAUUCUGGAGGCUAUAAGUUCAAGAGCAAGGUGUUGGCAAGGUUGGUUUCUUUUGAGACCUCUCUCCUUGGCUUGUGGAUGACCGUCUUCUCCCUGUGUCUUCACAUGGUCUUUUCUGUCUGUGUGUCUGCAUCCUAAUCUCUUCUUUUUAUAAAGACACCAGUGAUGUUAGAUUGGUGCCCAUCCUAAUGAUCUCAUUUUAACAUAAUUACUUCUUUAAAGACCCUAUAUCCAAAUAAGUUACAUUCUGAGAUACUAGGGGUUAGUACUUCAACUUAUGAUUUUUGGGAGGACAUAACAGAUGUGUUUGUAAACCAACAUGUUAGACACCAAAUUCUUGGCUUUUAAGAGUCAUCACUUGGGAUUCACUUCUAAGCAAGGGAAGAGUUGAAAGAGAAAUCAAAGUGAAGGAACAAAUUUAGAUAAAGCUGGAGAGGAUUUUGGAAGCUCCCUUAAGCCUGCAAAUCUGAGAGUAGAUUGGACAUGUGCCCUGUUCCCAAUGCGAGGGCUGUACUUGUGUAAUCCAAAGGUUUUCCAAGAGCCUAGAGUGACUCAUUCAAGUUAGGAGAGUGAGAGAGACAAAAGUCAGGUUGGUGGGGAGAAGAAAGGAGACUAACGUCAAAGGGAUAUGGGGAGAACCACCUCAUCAUGACUAAGAAUGAUAUCUCCAUUGGAUCAUCAUUACAGAGCACAAGGAGUAAUGAAAGCCAGCUGCCAAUCUCAGAAGCAAGCUCUAGUAAUCAUCCAUGGUGACAAAUGAAUGGAACAAGGUCAGAUGUCAGCAACAGAUUCCAGCAGAGGACUAAAAUAUAGACUAGUCUAAAAAAGAGAACUGCUCUGUCUUUGGAGAUGUCAGGUGGAGGUUUUGUAAUCCCUGAACGUAUAGAAACAGAACUCGGAAGGAACAAUGACAGCUGUGAGAGGUGGGAAAUGAAUGCACGGGGCUAAACUAUAAAUCAAAAGUCACUGAGAAAUUAUAGGAUUGGGUUGAGAAAAGUCAGAAUUGAGCUGUGACUAGGUAAACUGAGGGCUCAAAGCCAAAAAUAAAAUUAAAUUAUGGAAAUGAAGUUAUAGAAAUAAAAUUCCAUUUCUGCAUGCCCAAGUCUUAAGGCCUAUGGUGACUGUGAAAAUUCGCUUGUUAUAUGGACCUGUACUUCUUGCUCCCAUGCCCAUAGCAGACAUUGUAAUCAAUCUUUAUUCAUCCUUCUUCAUUCAGCCCAGAGGUAGGCACAAGUUUUUCACUACAGCAUUGCAAGAAGUUCUUAUCAAUUGGUCAGAAUUGGCAUGGAAAGUAAAACUAAUUUGCCAUACAUGUAAUAAAGGAAUGCAUUUGAG